Gossypium arboreum is the source of this 1297-nucleotide long non-coding RNA. RefSeq lists it as uncharacterized. The transcript is spliced from 2 exons. NCBI's taxonomy places the organism in Eukaryota, Viridiplantae, Streptophyta, Magnoliopsida, Malvales, Malvaceae. The record is from RefSeq and is a predicted model, not a curated record.
AGGUCCAAGUCUAAAGAUAAAAGCAACAAACUGCAUUAUGUCUAAAUACAAUUAAAAAAAUACCAAAGAAAAACAGAAGACAAAAGAAAAAGAAACCUGAAAGGCUGCCCCAUAAGGAGCCGAUGGAAGUUGAAAAUCCCAAAGCCAAAUUCGAUGAGCUUGUAAGCACGACAAUGGAGAGAAAAGAAGACACAACAAGGACAAGUAGAGAGAUAUGAUAGUUCAAGCCCAAGGCAUGCGACGAAAUUAAGGUAGAUGAGCGUUUGACCCCUCGUCCGUAGCCACCGCACUUUCCACCUGAAACGGAACCUCAUCAACCAAAAAAGGUCCGAUGUCCAGCGAAAUUCCAAUGCCGCGAGUAGGUGAGCAACCCAAUUCUGCUCUUUGAAGCAAUGGCAGACUGUAACUGCUGCAAAAAGGUAAUUAAUCGUAACCUCCCCUCUGUAACCAAUGCCCAGAUAUCUGACCAAUCAGCCUGUGUGCUAUUGAGUUUGCGAAUCACAUGCAGAGAGUCCUCUUCAAACAUGACCCGAGAUAGACCAAGGUCUCGAGCGAAUUCCAAUGCCGACAAGAGAGCCAACGCUUCUGCAACAAAAGCUGACGAGACCUAAACAUGGCUUUGGGCAUCCUGUACCACAACCCCCGAGCAAGAAGAGUGUGACUCUCCUCUAUAUGUAGCAUCGAAGUUGGCCUUAACCAGAGGCGCGGCCUGAGGAUGCGAGUGUGCAGUACGCAAAACCCCCUGAAUUGCUUCUGUAACGGCCAACACCGAUAGGCCAACCAUGUAGGAUCGAAUAAAGGAGACCAACUUAAGAGACGUCCAACCAAGGCCCUCAUGAUAGUACCUAUUGCGUGACCACCAUAGUGCCCAAAUCGUGGUACCAGCCCAGGAUACAAGAAGCCAAUUCCAAAUCGAAAUGGCAAAAGGGCAGUUCGAAGCACGUGAGUAGGCGUCUCAGGUAUAUUUAGGCAUCUAGGGUAGAAGUGCGUGGUAGAGAUGUAUCGACUGUAAAGGUUGUGAAAUGUGGGUACAUAAUUGCAAAGGAAUCUCCAAACUGUUAUGUGAACUUUAGGAGGGACCCAAACCUUCCAAAUCGUUGUAAACAAAUCACAUGAACUCUGUAGGUUAGAAGGACUAUAGGGAAUAGAGAUUUGUUGCAUAGGCCAAUGAAGCAACCUAUAACCACUAUGGACAGGGUAACAAACCUGUCGGGUCCCAUAAAUUCAUAUUAAGGACUGUAAAAGUAUUUUUAUGCUAAUUUUAAAUGAAGUAGCGAGAAGUAAGUCAUUUUACUAA